RNAcentral lists this ribosomal RNA (434 nucleotides) under Arachnia propionica. RNAcentral describes it as "bacterial SSU rRNA". It matches the Rfam family "Bacterial small subunit ribosomal RNA", at positions 28 to 477 of the family's 1533-position model. The record is from RNAcentral. Lineage: Bacteria; Bacillati; Actinomycetota; Actinomycetes; Propionibacteriales; Propionibacteriaceae.
GACGAACGCUGGCGGUGUGCUUAACACAUGCAAGUCGAACGGUAAGGCCCUUUCGGGGGUACACGAGUGGCGAACGGGUGAGUAACACGUGAGUAACCUGCCCUCAUCUCUGGGAUAACAGUCGGAAACGGUUGCUAAUACUGGAUAUGAGCUUGCAAGGCAUCUUGUGGGUUGGAAAGAUUUUUUGGUCGGGGAUGGACUCGCGGCCUAUCAGCUUGUUGGUGAGGUAGUGGCUCACCAAGGCUUCGACGGGUAGCCGGCCUGAGAGGGCGACCGGCCACAUUGGGACUGAGAUACGGCCCAGACUCCUACGGGAGGCAGCAGUGGGGAAUAUUGCACAAUGGACGGAAGUCUGAUGCAGCAACGCCGCGUGCGGGAUGACGGCCUUCGGGUUGUAAACCGCUUUCAAUUGUGACGAAGCUUUUGGGACGGUA